Molecule: ribosomal RNA, 108 nt
Filed under: Microcebus murinus (gray mouse lemur)
Lineage: Eukaryota; Metazoa; Chordata; Mammalia; Primates; Cheirogaleidae
Source: RNAcentral
GUUUAUGGCCAGAGCACCCUGAACGUGCUCGAUCUCAGAAGCUAAGCAGGGUAGGGCCUGGUUAGUACUGAGAUGGGAGAUAGUACUCUUUUCUGUCUGGCUUAAUUC